AGAGAGGGGGAAUGAGAGAAAGAGAGAGUGAGAGAAAGAGCGAGGGGAGAGAAGAGAGGGAGGCAUAUCACAGUCAGGCAUCAGACGACACCCAGGGCUUUGAGCGCGGCGGGAAGCAGUCCAUGGAGCCAGCAGCAGAGGGAGCUCAUUACUUCAGGAUAACACCUGCCGGGAUUGGGAGCGCUGCGCCUGGGAAGGGAAUCCCAUUAUGGAUGGAGGCUGCUGGAGCUUCGGCGCUGGAUGUAGCAGGCCUUCACAGACACCGUGGCUCAGAAAAGCCAUUGAUGGGGCCUUGCCUUGCAACACUGUAAAGCGUCUUCAAUCAAUUGAUUUGAAAAGCCCCUCGCUAUUUCCAGGCGGUUGAGGAACGAUUGUUGGUUACGGUCGCGUACACGUUGCUUCUCCCCUUCCCCGCGACAAACAAAAAAAAAACAAAACAAAAAAUGAAACGAAAACAAAACCAAAAAAAUGGCAAAACAUAAAAACACGAAAAAAAAGCGUCAAAGACUCUCUUCGGUGACGGGUAUUCUUGGGUGGAUAAUACGGAUGACGUUGUUAUUGCUUAAGAAUACGCGUAGUCGAGGAGAGUCAUGUCUACGGAGACCGCACAAGGGACUAGAGUGAGCUGAAGCCUCAAAGCUGCCAUCUGCCUAUGUGAGCUUUUUUAUGCUGUGGGCAGUCGCACUGAGUCGGUCAGACUGACACCCUCGUCCUCGUGUCUUUUAUAUUUAUUUAUUUUGUUAUUUAUUUAAUUAAUUACCUCUCCAGUUAUCUAUUUUUGUUAACUACCAGGCCACCACACAGAGCCUUAUGUGUCAUGCUUGUAUGUAAACCCUGUGUUGUGAGUAGUUGUAGUUGUAUGGCUGUUGAUAGCAGUAGCACAGCUGGUGAUAGCAUUUAGCAUGUUUAGCUAAUGGGAUUAGUAAUUAGGAUAUAGUAGCUUAGCAUUUUUGUAAUUCUGUGCCUUUCCUGUUGCUUUGAUUUGCCUUCUACUGUAAAUUUUAUCUUCUUUUUAGAGUUAGCUUAGUCAUAUUUUGUCUAAAGGAUAUGUAUUUGUAUUUAUAUUGAUUUUGUUAAGUGUAGUGUUUUUUUUUAUUUGUUUUCUAAGCCAUUACAUUUGUACCUGUGAAUUCACGCAUGUGCUUUAUAUCACUGAGUGAACUGUGCCUUGUUGACUUUGUAAUGGCAGAGGACGGACAGUGUUUGACAGUGUCAGGGUGGCCUUGCUUGGGGGGCGGGUUGGUAGGGUGUGAGAG
Long non-coding RNA from Alosa sapidissima (American shad), 1256 nucleotides. RefSeq lists it as uncharacterized. The transcript has 3 exons. Lineage: Eukaryota; Metazoa; Chordata; Actinopteri; Clupeiformes; Clupeidae. The record is from RefSeq and is a predicted model, not a curated record.